This is a non-coding RNA of Acanthosepion pharaonis, 111 nucleotides long. NCBI's taxonomy places the organism in Eukaryota, Metazoa, Mollusca, Cephalopoda, Sepiida, Sepiidae. The record is from the annotation of a GenBank genome assembly.
CGGCCGCAUCACGUUGAAACAUCGGUUCCCGUACUAUCACAAAAGUUAAGCAAUGUCGAGCUUAGUCAAUACCUAGAUGGGUGUCCACUUGGAAAUACCAGGUGUUGUAAG